GAGGGUAUAGCUCAGUGGUAGGGUCCAGGCUUAGCAUUCACGAGGUCCUGGGUUCAAUCCCCAGUACCUCCA
RNAcentral lists this transfer RNA (72 nucleotides) under Camelus bactrianus (Bactrian camel). It matches the Rfam family "tRNA". Rfam says of the family: Transfer RNA (tRNA) molecules are approximately 80 nucleotides in length. Their secondary structure includes four short double-helical elements and three loops (D, anti-codon, and T loops). The record is from Rfam by way of RNAcentral. RNAcentral also lists the same sequence under 1 other name. Lineage: Eukaryota; Metazoa; Chordata; Mammalia; Artiodactyla; Camelidae.